AUUGAACGCUAGCGGGAUGCCUUACACAUGCAAGUCGAACGGAGUGGCGAACGGGUGAGUAAUGUAUCGGAACGUGCCCAGUAGCGGGGGAUAACUACGCGAAAGCGUAGCUAAUAACGCAUACUAUUGGAGCGGCCGAGAUCGGAUUAGCUAGGUGGUGGGGUAACGGCUCACCAAGGCGACGAUCCGUAGCUGGUUUGAGAGGACGACCAGCCAAACUGGGACUGAGCCACGGCCCAGACUCCUACGGGAGGCAGCAGUGGGGAAUUUUGUACAAUGGGGGAAACCCUGAGCCAGCCAUCCCGCGUGGGCGAUGAAGGCCUUCGGGUUGUAAAGCACUUUUGGCAGGAAAGCGGUACCGGAAUAGAAAGCCACGGCUAACUACGUGCCAGCAGCCGCGGUAAUAC
This 407-nucleotide ribosomal RNA is filed under the name uncultured bacterium. RNAcentral describes it as "partial 16S ribosomal RNA". It matches the Rfam family "Bacterial small subunit ribosomal RNA", at positions 30 to 526 of the family's 1533-position model. The record is from RNAcentral.